AGACAUGGAGAAGAAUAUAUGCUGGUAAUAUAGCUGUUCCAUUGGAUUGAUGGAUGUUCUGUAACUGUAAGUAAUUACUCUUAGCUCUCUGUAUGUAUAUAGCUCAGCUUGCUGCUAGUGAUUAGGUACUGUACUGCUCAGGCUUAUCUGAAUAUAUAGCCCUAUUACUUACUAGUGGGCGUCUCAAAAACCUUUGUAAGCUUCCGUGACUGACCCUCAUGAUCAGAAUACAACACUGCAUGGUCUGUAUGGGCAAAUGCCUAAUUAUAAAAAUGGCCAUCCAUACCAUUUCGAUAGUUUCAGAAAUCCUAAUUCUUCUCCCUUGUCAAAAACAAAAGGAGAGGCACAUAAUCAUGAAGACAAAGCGCCAAAGCAGUAGGGAACCUUGAAAAGCAGAAUAUUGUAGCUGGAGUUCUUGGUUGCAGUGGGCCAGUCAAGACUAUUGAAGUGAUCAGAUGUGUAUUCCAUGAACAUUGAACUGAUUAGAUAUUCACACAGGCACAUUGCUUUCAGAUAAUACAUCAUGUUGUAAAAUAAUUGAGCUUCGACAACCACCGCAAGAAAACUAACAUUGACUUGACUUACAGGUUCUCUGGGUGCUUCUUGAUGGCUCAUGGCUUCAACAAUAAGACUAGCAUGAUGCCCCAUUCUCACCAACCCAUGGCACUAUUUUGAUGAUUUCAGAUUCUGAAGCGCGCAAGGAGGCCACCACAGGUCCAAAUCUGGUCAGAUCU
Molecule: long non-coding RNA, 734 nt
Filed under: Triticum aestivum (bread wheat)
Lineage: Eukaryota; Viridiplantae; Streptophyta; Magnoliopsida; Poales; Poaceae
Description: long non-coding RNA (TAES_LNC021424)
Source: RNAcentral